AUUGAACGCUUGCGGCAGGCCUAACACAUGCAAGUCGAACGAGUGGCGGACGGGUGAGUAAUGUCUGGGAAACUGCCUGAUGGAGGGGGAUAACUACUGUAAACGGUAGCUAAUACCGCAUACCAUCAGAUGUGCCCCGAUUGGUUUUGCUUGUUGGUGGGGUAACGGCUCAACAAGGCGACGAUCACUAGCUGGUCUGUGAAGAUGACCAGCCACACUGGAACUGAGACACGGUCCAGACUCCUACGGAAGGCAGCAGUGGGGAAUAUGGCACAAUGGGCGCAAGCCUGAUGCAGCAAUGCCGAGUGUAUGAAGAAGGCCUUCGGGUUGUAAAGUACUUUCAGCGGGGAGGCGUUACCCGCAGAAAAAGCACCGGCUAACUCCGUGCCAGCCGCCGCGGUAAUUC
This 406-nucleotide ribosomal RNA is filed under the name uncultured bacterium. Its description in RNAcentral is "partial 16S ribosomal RNA". It matches the Rfam family "Bacterial small subunit ribosomal RNA", at positions 30 to 526 of the family's 1533-position model. The record is from RNAcentral.